Metopolophium dirhodum (rose-grain aphid) is the source of this 448-nucleotide long non-coding RNA. RefSeq lists it as uncharacterized. The transcript is spliced from 3 exons. The record is from RefSeq and is a predicted model, not a curated record. Lineage: Eukaryota; Metazoa; Arthropoda; Insecta; Hemiptera; Aphididae.
CAUGAAUCGUGAUUAUUAUGUGUUUCUCGGUUGUGUUCACAGACAGGGCGAGCCGGAUACGGUUUCCAGAGUUUUUUUUCACAACGCUCUAAGAACAACACUAGACGAACGGUUACUACUGAGUACUGACUAUUGGCGGCAAGUCGCGACGGAGGCGCGAAAGCAUGGAACAAUAGUGAAAGGUAUCCAGGGUUGUUACACCUGUUCAACUCUACAACGCGACGCACGAGGCGCGUCGACCGUUUUAAAAUUUUUUUGGCGCUCCCAACUGGCAGUAGAACUGUAGAAGUUACAACAUUAAAAAAAUUAAGAACAUUUUAGAUUCCGAGUGGAGCGAUGAAUGAAUUUGAUAUUACAAUAUAAUAAUUGAAGAUAAACAGUCUGGAAGGACACGUACAACCGAAGAGAAAAAAGCCUUGACAUUGAUAAAAACUGAAAAAUAAUGCGG